CUGAAGACUUAUGCCGAUCGCGCGCCCCUUUGCUCUGCUUACGUAUCUUUCAAAUGUCUGGCUUAUCUGCUUUCUACGGUGGUUUAACUGGCUACCGUGGCAAUUACGGGGAACGGAGAAUAAGGGUACUACUCCGGAGAGGGAGCCUGAGAAACGGCUACCACAUCCACGGAAGGCAGCGAGCGCGCCAAUUACCCACUCCCGGCACUGGGAGGUAGUGACGAAAAAUAACAAGACGGUUCUCUAAGAAGCCCUUCAUCGACAUGGGUACAAUUUAAAUCCUUUAACGAGGAUCUAUUGAAGGGCAAGUCUGGGGCCAGCCUCCGCGCUAAAUCCAGCUCCAUUAGCGUAUAUUAAAGUUGUUGCGGAUAAAAAG
This 376-nucleotide ribosomal RNA is filed under the name Nematoda sp. Its description in RNAcentral is "bacterial SSU rRNA". It matches the Rfam family "Eukaryotic small subunit ribosomal RNA", at positions 252 to 626 of the family's 1831-position model. The record is from RNAcentral. Lineage: Eukaryota; Metazoa; Nematoda.